RNAcentral lists this ribosomal RNA (483 nucleotides) under uncultured bacterium. RNAcentral describes it as "partial 16S ribosomal RNA". It matches the Rfam family "Bacterial small subunit ribosomal RNA", at positions 30 to 506 of the family's 1533-position model. The record is from RNAcentral.
AUUGAACGCUGGCGGCAGGCCUAACACAUGCAAGUCGAGCGGAUGAAGGGAGCUUGCUCCUGGAUUCAGCGGCGGACGGGUGAGUAAUGCGUAGGAAUCUGCCUGGUAGUGGGGGAUAACGUCCGGAAACGGGCGCUAAUACCGCAUACGUCCUGAGGGAGAAAGUGAGGGAUCUUCGGACCUCACGCUAUCAGAUGAGCCUAGGUCGGAUUAGCUAGUUGGUGGGGUAAAGGCCUACCAAGGCGACGAUCCGUAACUGGUCUGAGAGGAUGAUCAGUCACACUGGAACUGAGACACGGUCCAAACUCCUACGGGAGGCAGGAGUGGGGAAUAUUGGACAGUGGGCGAAAGCCUGAUCGAGCCAUGCCGCGUGUGUGAAGAAGGUCUUCGGUUUGGAAAGCACUUUAAGUUGGUAGGAAGGGCAGUAAGUUAAUGCCUUGCUGUUUUGACGUUACCAACAGAAUAAGCACCGGCUAACUUCGU